UUAUGGGCAAAACUGCCGAAAGGCAGUGACGCAAAGCCAGAGGGGUCUAAGGUCUUUUAAGACUAUGACAGCCGGUUGCC
RNAcentral lists this non-coding RNA (80 nucleotides) under human gut metagenome. Its description in RNAcentral is "Cyclic di-GMP-I riboswitch". It matches the Rfam family "c-di-GMP-I riboswitch aptamer". From Rfam's summary of the family: GEMM was predicted in a large-scale screen for bacterial structured RNA regulatory elements. Genes associated with GEMM are involved in a diverse array of functions, including chemotaxis regulation, signal transduction, secretion and chitin. The record is from RNAcentral.